GACGAACGCUGGCGGCGUGCCUAAUACAUGCAAGUGGGACGCAAGGAAACACACUGUGCUUGCACACCGUGUUUUCUUGAGUCGCGAACGGGUGAGUAACGCGUAGGUAACCUGCCUAUUAGCGGGGGAUAACUAUUGGAAACGAUAGCUAAUACCGCAUAAUAUUAAUUAUUGCAUGAUAAUUGAUUGAAAGAUGCAAGCGCAUCACUAGUAGAGGGACCUGCGUUGUAUUAGCUAGUUGGUAAGGUAAGAGCUUACCAAGGCGACGAUACAUAGCCGACCUGACAGGGUGUACGCCCACACUGGGACUGAGACGCGGCCCAGACUCCUACGGGAGGCAGCAGUAGGGAAUCUUCGGCGAUGGACGAAAGUCUGACCGAGCAACGCCGCGUGAGUGAAGAAGGUUUUCGGAUCGUAAAGCUCUGUUGUAAGUCAAGAACGUGUGUGAGAGUGGAAAGUUCACACAGUGACGGUAGCUUACCAGAAAGGGACGGCUAACUACGUG
This 505-nucleotide ribosomal RNA is filed under the name uncultured bacterium. Its description in RNAcentral is "partial 16S ribosomal RNA". It matches the Rfam family "Bacterial small subunit ribosomal RNA", at positions 28 to 507 of the family's 1533-position model. The record is from RNAcentral.